GCCAAAUAGUGGGCUAGAAUUACACUUCCUUCCCUGAUUUCAUGACUCUAUGCCACUGCUGGUCAACCCCAAGCAUCAGAGUCAAAUGGAUUCUUUUCUUAUACUACCCAAUUACUUAAAAUUAUGUAACAUUAUAAUUUCCUUCAUUUUUAGACUCCAACGGUACUCAUGCCAGACUGAUUCCUGUUCCUUUGUAAAUGGGCUCCCGGGCCUGCCUCAAAACGGCCAAGAUCCCGCGAGAAGAGGCUUCCUCUGGGACGCGUGGUCCUGGCGGGAGCGCCUCAGGGCUGAUUCGACCCUUCUCCAAGACGAUCGCCGUGGGCCGGACCUUCUAGAAGACAGCACGUGAGGUAAAAUCCUUACUCCUGGGGAGUGGAGUGCCGGAGAACCAGCAGAGAGAGAAAAUGGGUAUGAAGCAGGAGAGGAAAGAGCGUUAGGGAGGAGGCCACCCCAGCUUCGUGAAAAGCUGGGCGCUGGGUCCUGCGGCGUCGCGUCGGGAAAGCUGCGCCUCUCCACACAGUCCCUCCGGGGGCAAGAGAGUAUUUGUCUGGUCCCGGCUCCUUUCGGUCAAGGAUCAUUCCACGGGGUAACUCCUCCGUAAUUGCACGUUGUGUAGUGUCUGGUGCCAACAAGUUCCUCAGCAACGACAAGGAGUCCCCAGAGUAGGAGGCAAAAGAUGCCGCAGGCGCAGCAGGCAAAGGUGCUGUUAGGUUGUGUCCCUCGGUGGCCCGAGGGACCACACGUAGCCGUCACCACAAACCCUUUUGUAGCAGUAGCAGCAGCAGCAGCAGCAGCAGCAGCAGCAGCAGCAACCUGACCCCAUAACCAUGGGAACCGGGAACCGCUCCAGCGACUGCUAGGUUCAGUCACUGCAGAUCUGGGAGCUUCCAUAAACCGAAUCCCCUGGAACUACUAUUGUGGUGGCUCCGAGAAAGUGUUUUCUGGUCCUUUUAUUGUUUUAUUCAACUUACUCACAUUUUUAAAAAGAUUUUAUUUAUUUGACAGAC
RNAcentral lists this long non-coding RNA (1007 nucleotides) under Mustela putorius furo (domestic ferret). RNAcentral's name for it is "lncRNA (ENSMPUG00000029252.1)". The record is from RNAcentral. Lineage: Eukaryota; Metazoa; Chordata; Mammalia; Carnivora; Mustelidae.